GACGAACGCUGGCGGCGUGCCUAAUACAUGCAAGUCGAACGAGAGCGACCGGUGCUUGCCCUGGUCAAUCUAGUGGCGAACGGGUGAGUAACACGUGGGUAACCUGCCCAUCAGAGGGGGAUAACAUCCGGAAACGGAUGCUAACACCGCAUAGGUCUUCGAACCGCAGGGUUCGAAGAGGAAAAGAGUCGCAGGCUUCUGCUGAUGGAUGGACCCGCGGUGCAUUAGCUAGUUGGUGGGGUAACGGCUCACCAAGGCCGUGAUGCAUAGCCGACCUGAGAGGGUGAUCGGCCACAUUGGGACUGAGACACGGCCCAAACUCCUACGGGAGGCAGCAGUAGGGAAUCUUCCGCAAUGGACGCAAGUCUGACGGAGCAACGCCGCGUGAGUGAAGAAGGUUUUCGGAUCGUAAAACUCUGUUGUUAGAGAAGAACAAGUGCUAGAGUAACUGUUAGCGCCUUGACGGUAUCUAAACAGAAAGCCACGGCUAACUACGUG
RNAcentral lists this ribosomal RNA (498 nucleotides) under uncultured bacterium. RNAcentral describes it as "partial 16S ribosomal RNA". It matches the Rfam family "Bacterial small subunit ribosomal RNA", at positions 28 to 507 of the family's 1533-position model. The record is from RNAcentral.